ACUCCUACGGGGAGGCAGCAGUGGGGAAUAUUGCACAAUGGGGGAAACCCUGAUGCAGCCAUGCCGCGUGUGUGAAGAAGGCCUUCGGGUUGUAAAGCACUUUCAGUAGGGAGGAAGGUAGUGUAGUUAACACCUGCACUUAUUUGACGUUACCUACAGAAGAAGCACCGGCUAACUCCGUGCCAGCAGCCGCGGUAAUACGGAGGGUGCGAGCGUUAAUCGGAAUUACUGGGCGUAAAGCGCAUGCAGGCGGCCUGUUAAGUCAGAUGUGAAACGCCCGGGGCUUAACCUCGGAAUUGCAUUUGAAACUGGCAGGCUAGAGUCUUGUAGAGGGGUUAGAAUUUCGAGGUGUAGCGGUGAAAUGCGUAGAGAUCUGAAGGAAUACCGAGUGGCGAAGGCGGCCCCGUGGACAAAGACUGACGCUCAGACUGCGAAAGCGUGGGAGCAAACAGGAUUAGAUACCCCGUGGUAGCGACUGA
RNAcentral lists this ribosomal RNA (479 nucleotides) under uncultured bacterium. Its description in RNAcentral is "bacterial SSU rRNA". It matches the Rfam family "Bacterial small subunit ribosomal RNA", at positions 335 to 803 of the family's 1533-position model. The record is from RNAcentral.